RNAcentral lists this ribosomal RNA (411 nucleotides) under Triticum aestivum (bread wheat). RNAcentral's name for it is "partial small subunit ribosomal RNA". The record is from RNAcentral. Lineage: Eukaryota; Viridiplantae; Streptophyta; Magnoliopsida; Poales; Poaceae.
AUGAGCGGCCACCAUGAACUGAUUCCCGUAAGAAGUCUCGGCGACCGGGCAUUGUUCGUCUCCUUGGACAGGUGCUUGUCCGUGUCGUCCAACAACCUUCCGUCCAUCAGCAGCAACUCGAUUUACCUCACGGUAUCACUCCCGGAUCCGGUCGUCGUGCAUUGUUUGAGCAGCCGAUCGUUCGAGCGGCCAACGGCGUUGUGUCAGGUACACGAUGGAAAGGAGAUGGUCUGCCCAUCCGUGCGGCCCUUCACUCUUGCUGAUCAUCUUCUCACCUACUGCAAUCAUCAUGAAUGGUCAAAUGGACUGAUGUUUCAUGAGUACUACUUCAUACCUGAGUCUUUUCAAGGGCUGUGGAAGAAAAUAAGAACCCAGGAUUCCCAAGUGAGGAUUUCACGCGUGAGAGAUUGA